RNAcentral lists this unclassified non-coding RNA (310 nucleotides) under Hevea brasiliensis (rubber tree). The record is from RNAcentral. Lineage: Eukaryota; Viridiplantae; Streptophyta; Magnoliopsida; Malpighiales; Euphorbiaceae.
AAAAGAAAAAGAAAAAGAAAAUUUCAAAUGAAAAAGCAUUAUGACAUCAUACAUUACCCAAGCAUGAUGCAAUAAAUUUUAAUUUUUAAAAUUUGAAAAGAGGGGAUAAUUACUUAAUUAAAAUAACCAAUAAAAAAAAUUAAGAGACAAAUUAAGUCUUCUUCUCUUCAUUGUAGCCGUCCCUCUCCUCUCUGUAACACCCCUAAGUUCGAUAGUGCGUUCUACUGCUCCAGUGACCAGUGCUAUCCGGACAGCUAGAAUGCCUAGAACUACACUUAAAUAUUGAUGAGGAGACAUAAAAUAAUGAAAU